UCGUUUCAAGGAUCUUCUGAGGAGAAGCCACAGCGACGGAGCCGUAACGACCUCGAGCGAAUCGAAACGGUGUCGUUUUAAAGAUCUUCUGAGAAGAAGCCACAGUGGCGGAGACGGGUCUUCGAUUUCGUCAAGCGGAAACGGAUCGCUGGCAGUGAAAGGAAAAAAUAAAACGGCGUCGUAUAAGCCUACGAACAUCGGGGAAGUGGAUAAGCGAAGAAAGACUUAUUUACCUUACAGGCAAAAUUUGAUCGGCGUUUUCGCCGGAAUAAGCAGAUUCCGUCAUUAGUGAAGUCGUUAAUUUACAAAUUGUUCCUUGUUUCAUUAAUUG
This 331-nucleotide long non-coding RNA is filed under the name Eutrema salsugineum. RNAcentral's name for it is "long non-coding RNA (ESAL_LNC001106)". The record is from RNAcentral. Lineage: Eukaryota; Viridiplantae; Streptophyta; Magnoliopsida; Brassicales; Brassicaceae.